Molecule: non-coding RNA, 24 nt
Filed under: Cricetulus griseus (Chinese hamster)
Lineage: Eukaryota; Metazoa; Chordata; Mammalia; Rodentia; Cricetidae
Source: RNAcentral
AAUUGGAUCUGUCACCUGUCACCA